RNAcentral lists this ribosomal RNA (470 nucleotides) under Catonella morbi. RNAcentral describes it as "bacterial SSU rRNA". It matches the Rfam family "Bacterial small subunit ribosomal RNA", at positions 28 to 498 of the family's 1533-position model. Lineage: Bacteria; Bacillati; Bacillota; Clostridia; Lachnospirales; Lachnospiraceae. The record is from RNAcentral.
GAUGAACGCUGCGGCGUGCCUAACACAUGCAAGUCGAACGGAGAUUACGGACGGAAGUUUUCGGAUGGAAGUUUGUAAUUCUUAGUGGCGGACGGGUGAGUAACGCGUGGGCAACCUGCCCUAUACAGGGGGAUAGCAGCUGGAAACGGCUGGUAAGACCGCAUAAGUCGGCGAGACCGCAUGGUUUUGUCGGGAAAUGAGCAAUCAGGUAUAGGAUGGGCCCGCGUCCGAUUAGCCAGUUGGCAGGGUAAAAGCCUACCAAAGCGACGAUCGGUAGCCGGACUGAGAGGUCGGACGGCCACAUUGGGACUGAGACACGGCCCAAACUCCUACGGGAGGCAGCAGUGGGGGAUAUUGCACAAUGGAGGAAACUCUGAUGCAGCGACGCCGCGUGAGUGAAGAAGUAUUUCGGUAUGUAAAGCUCUAUCAGCAGGGAAGAUGAUGACGGUACCUGACUAAGAAGCCCGGCU